UACGUAGGGUGCAAGCGUUAUCCGGAUUUAUUGGGUUUAAAGGGUGCGUAGGCGGACUGUCAAGUCAGCGGUAAAAUUGAGAGGCUCAACCUCUUCCCGCCGUUGAAACUGGUGGUCUUGAGUGGAUGAGAAGUACGCGGAAUGCGUGGUGUAGCGGUGAAAUGCAUAGAUAUCACGCAGAACUCCGAUUGCGAAGGCAGCGUACCGGCAUCCAACUGACGCUGAGGCACGAAAGCGUGGGGAUCAAACAGG
This 252-nucleotide ribosomal RNA is filed under the name uncultured bacterium. Its description in RNAcentral is "partial 16S ribosomal RNA". It matches the Rfam family "Bacterial small subunit ribosomal RNA", at positions 524 to 776 of the family's 1533-position model. The record is from RNAcentral.